This 619-nucleotide ribosomal RNA is filed under the name Drosophila kepulauana. RNAcentral describes it as "partial 16S ribosomal RNA". It matches the Rfam family "Bacterial large subunit ribosomal RNA", at positions 1845 to 2749 of the family's 2925-position model. The record is from RNAcentral. Lineage: Eukaryota; Metazoa; Arthropoda; Insecta; Diptera; Drosophilidae.
UUAAAGUCUGUCCUGCCCACUGAAAUUUUUAAAUGGCCGCAGUAUUCUAACUGUGCAAAGGUAGCAUAAUCAUUAGUCUUUUAAUUGAAGGCUGGAAUGAAUGGUUGGACGAAAUAUUAACUGUUUCAUUUUAAUUUUUUAUAGAAUUUUAUUUUUUAGUCAAAAAGCUAAAAUAAUAUUAAAAGACGAGAAGACCCUAUAAAUCUUUAUAUUUAAUUUAUUUUUAUUAUAAAGAUUAAUUUUAUUUAAAUAAAUUUAAAUAUUUUAUUGGGGUGAUAUUAAAAUUUAAAAAACUUUUAAUUUUUAAAAACAUUAAUUUAUGAAUAAUUGAUCCAGUAAUAUUGAUUAAAAAUUUAAGUUACUUUAGGGAUAACAGCGUAAUUUUUUUGGAGAGUUCAUAUCGAUAAAAAAGAUUGCGACCUCGAUGUUGGAUUAAGAUAUAAUUUUGGGUGUAGCCGUUCAAAUUUUAAGUCUGUUCGACUUUUAAAUUCUUACAUGAUCUGAGUUCAAACCGGCGUAAGCCAGGUUGGUUUCUAUCUUUAAUAAAUUGUAAUAUUUUAGUACGAAAGGACCAAAUAUUAAAAUAAUUAUAUUUUAAUAAAGAAUAUUAUUAAUUAAU